This is a non-coding RNA of Schistosoma mattheei, 46 nucleotides long. NCBI's taxonomy places the organism in Eukaryota, Metazoa, Platyhelminthes, Trematoda, Strigeidida, Schistosomatidae. The record is from Rfam.
GGACUGCUAAAAAGUCCCACGAUAGGACGAAACGGCCGUCCAGUGC